This 710-nucleotide ribosomal RNA is filed under the name Roseovarius sp. RNAcentral describes it as "bacterial SSU rRNA". It matches the Rfam family "Bacterial small subunit ribosomal RNA", at positions 42 to 802 of the family's 1533-position model. The record is from RNAcentral. Lineage: Bacteria; Pseudomonadati; Pseudomonadota; Alphaproteobacteria; Rhodobacterales; Roseobacteraceae.
GGAGGCUACACAUGCAGUCGAGCGAGAACUUCGGUUCUAGCGGCGGACGGGUUAGUAACGCGUGGGAACGUGCCCUUCACUACGGAAUAGUCCCGGGAAACUGGGUUUAAUACCGUAUACGCCCUUCGGGGGAAAGAAUUUCGGUGAAGGAUCGGCCCGCGUUAGAUUAGAUAGUUGGUGGGGUAACGGCCUACCAAGUCUACGAUCUAUAGCUGGUUUUAGAGGAUGAUCAGCAACACUGGGACUGAGACACGGCCCAGACUCCUACGGGAGGCAGCAGUGGGGAAUCUUAGACAAUGGGCGCAAGCCUGAUCUAGCCAUGCCGCGUGAGUGAUGAAGGCCUUAGGGUCGUAAAGCUCUUUCGCCAGGGAUGAUAAUGACAGUACCUGGUAAAGAAACCCCGGCUAACUCCGUGCCAGCAGCCGCGGUAAUACGGAGGGGGUUAGCGUUGUUCGGAAUUACUGGGCGUAAAGCGCGCGUAGGCGGAUUGGAAAGUUGGGGGUGAAAUCCCAGGGCUCAACCCUGGAACUGCCUCCAAAACUAUCAGUCUAGAGUUCGAGAGAGGUGAGUGGAACUCCGAGUGUAGAGGUGAAAUUCGUAGAUAUUCGGAAGAACACCAGUGGCGAAGGCGGCUCACUGGCUCGAUACUGACGCUGAGGUGCGAAAGUGUGGGGAGCAAACAGGAUUAGAUACCCUGGUAGUCCACACCG